This 228-nucleotide long non-coding RNA is filed under the name Homo sapiens (human). RNAcentral's name for it is "long non-coding RNA NONHSAT172049.1". The record is from RNAcentral. Lineage: Eukaryota; Metazoa; Chordata; Mammalia; Primates; Hominidae.
AAGGGGAAGACUUACACUAUGAAGCUAGCCCAGAAGAGGGUGACUAGAGUACUGAGGAGUUUCUACCUGGAAGGGCUGUAAGACAACUGCUAUGUUGUGAGCGGCUCUAUGGAGAGGCCCAUGUGGAGGGAAGUGAGGAAGGCCUCUGGCCAACAGUCCAGGAGGAAGUGAAGCCCUCAGUCCAACAGCCUGUGUGGAACUGAACCCUGCAAACAACUCUGUGUGUGA